Molecule: non-coding RNA, 29 nt
Filed under: Rattus norvegicus (Norway rat)
Lineage: Eukaryota; Metazoa; Chordata; Mammalia; Rodentia; Muridae
Source: RNAcentral
UGGGAUAAAUGUCUUGCUUUUUGAUCUGG